CUUUUUAGGGCCGCACCCAUGGCAUAUGGAGGUUCCCGGGCUAGGGGUCUAAUUGGAGCCGUAGCCGCUGGCCUGCACCACAGCCACAGCGACGCGGGAUCCGAGCCGCAUCUGCAACCUACACCACAGCUCACGGCAACACCAGAUCCUUAACCCACUGAGCAAGGCCAGGGAUCGAAUCCACAACCUCAGGGUUCCUGGUCAGAUUCGUUAACCACUGUGCCACAGCGGGAACUCCCUGAACAUUUACAAACUGAAAGCAAAUGUCAUAACAGCAACCCUGGAACCCGUCGACUCUUGGGCUGCAGUUGUGAGAAGCAGAGCCCAGAUGCUCAGCCAGUGACGGAGCGGAGAGGAACGCUGCACCAGCGGCCAGUCAGGGGCCCAGCAGGCUUUGUGCCAACCUUCACCUUUACCCCCAGAGUCCAGGUCAGCCCAUGAUUUCCCCCAAUUCGGGGACUGGUGGUGGUUUCUGGAGGGUGCCCCCGAUUCUCUGUCUUGCUCACUCAGUCUCCGGCUGUCUCUCUGUCUGUCCCUGUCUCUCUGACCCUCUCUUCCCCUCUGUCUCCCGCUCUGACUCGCUCUGUCCCUCUGUCUCUUUCACUCCUUUCUUCUUGGUCCUUCCGCAGCCUCUCCAGCCCCUCUCCAGCCUCUGUCACACGCCUGCCCUCCCGCCUGCAUAGCUAAGGGCUGGACAAAGAACAGGCUCCAUGCUGAAGCCUAGCCCCACGCUGCCCUGGUUAUGGUCCUGCCUCUCCUCCCCUGCAGGUGUCCCGGCCUGAGCAGCACCAGCUACAGGACCCAAGCAGCAGGUCCCUUACUCCAGGGAAGGAGGGUGUCAGGGUGUCAGGGGAGAGCUCAAGAGGAAGGGGCUGCUCAGACGUGGGCGUGGGGAGCUCCGUGGACCAGGGAAGACCUGAGCACAGGUAGGGACCAUGGCCUCAGGGUAGGGGGUGCCCCAGACCUGUGGGGAAGGUGCACCGUUGGGUGGCCGGCCCCUCUGCACGGUCAGGCUGCGCCCACCCUACUUCCCGCCCCCCAUUCUCCACCCAGUGCCUCUCAUCUCCAGCUGAAAUGAGCUCAUUCACUCAUGUUUUUGAGGUCCGUGUCUCUCCUACAGAGGCCACACUUGCUGCUCAGGGCGUACUAUGCAAGGUCAGGCGAACAGACAGAUGGACAGACAAGCGAGGCCAGUCAGAACCGUCUCUGGGCUCCUGGAGCUGUGGACAGUCAGAGCAAAGCCUGGAGCCCCAGGCUGCUGGAGGGUCCAGGCCCAGGACGGUGAAGGACACACAGGCCUGGGCUGGAGGAGACCGGUUAGGGUUCCAGCUUAUUAGAAUAUGUGCCAACACCCAGCAAGGCUGGGGGGUUCGAGUGGACUUAGGACAGCUUUUCAAAUGUGCAGGAUUAAAUGGGCGACGGUGCACCUUUCCCUCCUGGAGACACAGGUGGGGGCGAGGUGGGGGUGUCUGCUGACUCCCAGGCCCGCGGCCUGCCUAGAAGGGAGUGAUGACGUGGAGUGAGGAGGGGCAGGGAGCUGGCUGUCACCCCCCCCCCCCCGNGGAGCUCCAACAAUACCUGCCCAUCUGCCCCUUUCUCCAGGGAGGCGGGAGCGGGGGGCGGGGGGGGAACAGCCUGGGCUGGUUUUACUCUCUCACUGCUGCGCAGCCUCGUGGCAGAGGGCAUGGGGCAAAUCCACCUUUGCACCUCUGGGGGGACGCUCCCUUAAUGGUUUAAGAGCAGCAUUCAAGUGCAUUCCUUGUUCCCUCUCCUACCCAGGCCCUCCAGGGCAAUCCCUCCAGGCCUCCAGCCCCAUGUGCUGCCACAGCUCCGCACAGCCUGCCUCGCCGGCCUCUCUGAGCAGCCGGGGUGGCCUGAGCAGCCUCGGGAAGCCUCUGCACACAUCCUGGUUUCCACUCAGACGGUUGAGCUAAACCGCUUGCCCUCACCCCGCACCUCCUGACAGCCAGCUCAGCACCCUGGCUCCUGGCGUGACAGCUGUGUCCCCCUCGGGACAUCCCGCUGCGUGUCUGAAAUUCUGACACUGCACCCAUUGUUCAGCUGCUGAAGAGACCGGCCCCUUGGGUGUGAAAAGGACACCCCAUGGAGCAUUAUUAAUGCACGGCUUGGGAGGGUUCUCCUGACAGCACUAAGCACGGGCUCGUGGCUCCCUCCAACCCCAGAUUAAUAAUCAUGGCUACACAAUAGACACUCUGAUCAAGCAGCAGGUCUGGGCCCAUCUUCCAACGUAAACGAAAGCCCCACCUGCCCGGGGUAGACACCAGCCUUGUCAAAGGAGCCCACGCACACCACCCUCCCUCACUGGGGUCACCCGCCUGGGGUGGCAGGAAGAGGGCGCCCAGGCUCUGGAUAUCCACUGGACAGCCACAAUUCGGGGCCCAAAUGUUUCACUCUUUAAGGCCAAGAAGAGAUUUAAGGUCCUACGCCUACUCUUUUCGCCUAAAGUAUUAAAAAAAAAAAAGAGAGAGAGAGAGAGAGAAAGAAAGAAAAGAAAGCCGAAUGCGCAGUCACACAGGCAGCUAAGCUUUUCCAGCAGCCCCAUCAGACGGGCUCUGAGCUGUCCACACGCCUGGUGCUGAACGCAGGCCGUUGUGCACACCUCCCCCACACAGGCCUCCUCUGUACACACUGCCCUCCAGACACCGAGCCCAACACCCCACCUCCUGUCCAGGGCCAGUCCCGCCCCUGUGUGUACUCUGUCCCCACCCCAUGCCCACUCCCCGGCCUCCUCAGUCAGAAGGCAGUGCCCUCUUGUGGGAAAACCUUCUGUUCUCUGGCCCCGUCUCGUAUCCUGGCUGCUUGGCUCAGAACCGUCACUCAGGCCCUGCUGCCCAAACUAGAGGGACAGCCAGUGCCAGGGAGGAGCUGGGAGUCCUGACCAUGGGGCCCAAGCAACCUUCCUACUCAUCCCAUAACCAGCACAGAGCGUUGUGCAUGCAGGUCACCCAGAGCCCCUGACCUCAAGCAAGUAACUUCUCCAUCACGUGACCUCGGAAUGCUCAGGACUGGAAGGGUGAGGUGAGUGAAGCAUCCAGCCAGGUGCAAAUUUAAGGGAGAAACAAAACGAGGUGACCAAGAUGAAUAAUAAUUUAGUGCAAUACUUUAAAACAUCUAAAUCAAUGCAAAAAUUCCAUGAUGAACAAUAUAUUAAGAAUUUACAUAAAGACCAUGGCAGUAUCACCAGCGUUUCCCUUUGCCUCAGGCUCAGACAUGCUCAGCAGAGAACCGAUGGUCACAAGGGAAUAAAAGUGUGAGUGGAGGUGCCUGGGAAAGCACCAGAACGGACCCGCAGUCCGGGCACCCGAUCCCAAAGAAAAAUGUUGGGCUUCGAGAGUAAAACGCAAGCAGCCUCAGAUGAGGCUGCCGCCUAAAGCUUCGCGGCCCUUCCCAUCUCCACCCAGGGCCGUGCGUCUGGGUGGCCAGGCCCUGGGUCACGGCCCGGACCCUGAUGGAGAGCAUCCACCUGCCAAAGAGAAGAGAGACCGGAACAUGCCAGCUGGGAAAGAGUGCCCCCCAGCCUGCAGUCCCCCCCACUUCCACCUCAGAGGGUCACCUGAGAGGGAGCACCAGGGCCCGUCACGGGGAGCUCUGGAAUUAGAGAUGCGUGUGAUAGCGGGGGUUACCUCCACCAGCAAGCCCCAGGCAGGGCACCCUCGGCCCCACUUGGGAAGAUGGAAUAAACAAGGCCAGCCGACCUCGGGAGUCCCCGAGGCAAAGGCAGCUGAGGGAGCAUCGGAACGAACAGAGAGCAGGCACUGCGGCGCCUCAGGGGUGCCAGGUGUGAUGAGGCCUCAGAGCAGGGACCUGGCAGAAGGGAGACCCGCUGCCACAUUUCAGCUUUGCUCCCUCACAGUGACUUCUCCUCCUUGAGUUUCAAAGUGACCAGAUCUUUAAUGGGCCUGGCCUCCACUUACUCUUUGCCCAAUCCAGGUCGAGAAUGACGAGACCCAAAGUCUAGGCAUGAGAUGGACCCCUGCCUGCACCCAGGGCCCCAGGGCGGGGGCUGCCCUCCCAGCGCCUCACCUUGCCGUGUCCGCCCAGCAAGAGCCUCGAGGUCCUGCAGCUGGUGGCCUUGUCUCCGUGUGUCCACCUCUGGCUCAGCAGCUCACCCCGGAACUCAUUUUCUGAGGGUCAGAAGAAGAAAACCUGAUGAACCCCAGCUGCGCCAGCUCAAGGGGAGAACUCGGGAAGCUCGGGCCUCUUUCACAUGGCGCUUACACCGUCCCCCUUCUCCGGAAUCCGCUGGAAAGGUUAUGGCCUCCCCGCCACGUCAGGAACAAGAGGCGGGAGCUCUUUGAGAAGAAGCCUCUGGGACGGUCCCCAGAGGCUUCGGGUGCCCUGGCCCCAGCAACCAGCUCUGGCUGCGCUUGAUGGAACACGCCUGGGAGCGGGUACGGAUUUCCACUGGGGAGGCCACCCCCGCCAGGGGCUGGCGUGGGUCAGGUGAGGUCCGACACUUCGCCUCCCCUUUGCCCAGGCUCCUGGCAUCUUCCCUCUCCCGCUGUUUCCGCCUCUCUCCAGAGCAGCACCUCCAGUGGGUACCUCCUUCCUCGCAAACAUGCACACGGCAGAGAGGAAGCUCAAGGCAUCAGCUGGACCCGACAAAGAAA
Molecule: long non-coding RNA, 4631 nt
Filed under: Sus scrofa (pig)
Lineage: Eukaryota; Metazoa; Chordata; Mammalia; Artiodactyla; Suidae
Description: lncRNA (ENSSSCG00065051554.1)
Source: RNAcentral